AGAGUUUGAUCCUGGCUCAGGAUGAACGCUAGCGGCAGGCUUAAUACAUGCAAGUCGAGGGGUAACAUGGGUAGCAAUACCUGAUGACGACCGGCAAACGGGUGCGGAACACGUACGCAACCUUCCCAAAACUGGUGAAUAGCCUUUCGAAAGAGAGAUUAAUACACCGUAAGAUAGUGAGGAGGCAUCUCUUUACUAUU
RNAcentral lists this ribosomal RNA (200 nucleotides) under uncultured bacterium. RNAcentral describes it as "partial 16S ribosomal RNA". It matches the Rfam family "Bacterial small subunit ribosomal RNA", at positions 8 to 202 of the family's 1533-position model. The record is from RNAcentral.